GCACAGAUGGUGUAACGGAAGCAUAAGGGUCUCCAAAACCUUUGGUCAUGGUUCAAAUCCUUGUCUGUGCG
RNAcentral lists this transfer RNA (71 nucleotides) under Anabaena cylindrica PCC 7122. RNAcentral's name for it is "tRNA-Trp (CCA) (tRNA-Trp-CCA-2-1)". It matches the Rfam family "tRNA". Rfam says of the family: Transfer RNA (tRNA) molecules are approximately 80 nucleotides in length. Lineage: Bacteria; Bacillati; Cyanobacteriota; Cyanophyceae; Nostocales; Nostocaceae. The record is from Rfam by way of RNAcentral. RNAcentral also lists the same sequence under 5 other names.